RNAcentral lists this ribosomal RNA (468 nucleotides) under uncultured bacterium. RNAcentral's name for it is "partial 16S ribosomal RNA". It matches the Rfam family "Bacterial small subunit ribosomal RNA", at positions 28 to 507 of the family's 1533-position model. The record is from RNAcentral.
GACGAACGCUGGCGGCGUGCUUAACACAUGCAAGUCGAACGGAAAGGCCCUGCUUUUGUGGGGUGCUCGAGUGGCGAACGGGUGAGUAACACGUGAGUAACCUGCCCUUGACUUUGGGAUAACUUCAGGAAACUGGGGCUAAUACCGGAUAGGAGCUCCUGCUGCAUGGUGGGGGUUGGAAAGUUUCGGCGGUUGGGGAUGGACUCGCGGCUUAUCAGCUUGUUGGUGGGGUAGUGGCUUACCAAGGCUUUGACGGGUAGCCGGCCUGAGAGGGUGACCGGCCACAUUGGGACUGAGAUACGGCCCAGACUCCUACGGGAGGCAGCGGUGGGGAAUGUUGCACAAUGGGCGGAAGCCUGAUGCAGCACCGCCGCGUGCGGGAUGACGGCCUUCGGGUUGUAAACCGCUUUCGCCUGUGACGAAGCGUGAGUGACGGUAAUGGGUAAAGAAGCACCGGCUAACUACGUG